This 503-nucleotide ribosomal RNA is filed under the name Conus coelinae. RNAcentral describes it as "partial 12S ribosomal RNA". Lineage: Eukaryota; Metazoa; Mollusca; Gastropoda; Neogastropoda; Conidae. The record is from RNAcentral.
CAAGAACUAUAAACCAUUAGACCUCCAGUACAGGAGUAAAAUCUAGAUACUGAAAGUUAUAUCUGACAUGGUUAUUUAGGAUGCUGAGUCUGUGAUAGCUUCAAGGGAAACUGGGAUUGGAUACCCCAUUAUUUUUAGUUGUAAAUAUAGUUUGAGCUUACCAGAGUACUACGAAUAAAAAGUUUAAAACUCAAAGGGCUUGGCGGUGUUUUAGACCUCUCAGGGGAACCUGUCUCGUAAUCGACAAUCCACGUUAGACCUAACCUUCCGUGGUAGUUCAGCCUGUAUACCGUUGUCGUCAGGUAACUUCUAAAAAUAUAGCAGUUAGCUCGAGAACUUUAUUAAUUAAGACGUCAGAUCAAGGUGCAGCUAAUAGGAAGGUGAGGAUGGGUUACAGUUACAUAUUUGUAAUUACGGAAAGACACUUGAAAGCAAGUGACUUGAAGGAGGACUUGAAAGUAAUUUUGAUUAUAUAAACAGAAUGAAUGCGGCUCUGAAACGUG